CAGAGGGUGCAAGCGUUGUUCGGAAUUAUUGGGCGUAAAGCGCGUGUAGGCGGCCUAGCAAGUCGGGUGUGAAAGCCCUCAGCUUAACUGAGGAAGUGCGCCCGAAACUGCAUGGCUUGAGUACCGGAGAGGAUGGCGGAAUUCCCCAAGUAGAGGUGAAAUUCGUAGAUAUGGGGAGGAACACCGGUGGCGAAGGCGGCCAUCUGGACGGAUACUGACGCUGAGACGCGAAAGCGUGGGUAGCAAACAGGAUUAGAUACCCUGGUAGUCCACGCUGUAAACGAUGAGAACUAGGUGUCGUGGGUGUUGACCCCCGCGGUGCCGUAGCUAACGCAUUAAGUUCUCCGCCUGGGAAUUACGGCCGCAAGGCUA
This 372-nucleotide ribosomal RNA is filed under the name uncultured organism. RNAcentral's name for it is "bacterial SSU rRNA". It matches the Rfam family "Bacterial small subunit ribosomal RNA", at positions 526 to 896 of the family's 1533-position model. The record is from RNAcentral.